This 305-nucleotide ribosomal RNA is filed under the name uncultured bacterium. RNAcentral describes it as "bacterial SSU rRNA". It matches the Rfam family "Bacterial small subunit ribosomal RNA", at positions 338 to 640 of the family's 1533-position model. The record is from RNAcentral.
CCUACGGGACGCAGCAGUGAGGAAUAUUGGUCAAUGGCCGAGAGGCUGAACCAGCCAAGUCGCGUGAGGGAAUAAGGCCCUACGGGUCGUAAACCUUUUUUGCCGGGGAGCAAGGGCGGGGACGUGUCCCGGCCCGGAGAGUACCCGGAGAAAAAGCAUCGGCUAACUCCGUGCCAGCAGCCGCGGUAAUACGGAGGAUGCGAGCGUUAUCCGGAUUUAUUGGGUUUAAAGGGUGCGUAGGCGGGCUUUUAAUUCAGCGGUAAAAAUUCGGGGCUCAACCCCGUCCGGUCGUUGAAACUGGGGGG